RNAcentral lists this ribosomal RNA (753 nucleotides) under uncultured Pseudomonas sp. RNAcentral describes it as "bacterial SSU rRNA". It matches the Rfam family "Bacterial small subunit ribosomal RNA", at positions 28 to 776 of the family's 1533-position model. Lineage: Bacteria; Pseudomonadati; Pseudomonadota; Gammaproteobacteria; Pseudomonadales; Pseudomonadaceae. The record is from RNAcentral.
AUUGAACGCUGGCGGCAGGCCUAACACAUGCAAGUCGAGCGGAUGACGGGAGCUUGCUCCUUGAUUCAGCGGCGGACGGGUGAGUAAUGCCUAGGAAUCUGCCUGGUAGUGGGGGACAACGUUUCGAAAGGAGCGCUAAUACCGCAUACGUCCUACGGGAGAAAGCAGGGGACCUUCGGGCCUUGCGCUAUCAGAUGAGCCUAGGUCGGAUUAGCUAGUUGGUGGGGUAAUGGCUCACCAAGGCGACGAUCCGUAACUGGUCUGAGAGGAUGGUCAGUCACACUGGAACUGAGACACGGUCCAGACUCCUACGGGAGGCAGCAGUGGGGAAUAUUGGACAAUGGGCGAAAGCCUGAUCCAGCCAUGCCGCGUGUGUGAAGAAGGUCUUCGGAUUGUAAAGCACUUUAAGUUGGGAGGAAGGGCAGUAAGUUAAUACCUUGCUGUUUUGACGUUACCGACAGAAUAAGCACCGGCUAACUCUGUGCCAGCAGCCGCGGUAAUACAGAGGGUGCAAGCGUUAAUCGGAAUUACUGGGCGUAAAGCGCGCGUAGGUGGUUUGUUAAGUUGGAUGUGAAAGCCCCGGGCUCAACCUGGGAACUGCAUCCAAAACUGGCAAGCUAGAGUACGGUAGAGGGUGGUGGAAUUUCCUGUGUAGCGGUGAAAUGCGUAGAUAUAGGAAGGAACACCAGUGGCGAAGGCGACCACCUGGACUGAUACUGACACUGAGGUGCGAAAGCGUGGGGAGCAAACAGG